AAGGGCACCACAAGAACGCGUGGAGCAUGUGGCUUAAUUUGACCCAACGCGGGAAAUCUUACCGGGUCCGGACACACUGAGGAUUGACAGGCAAUAUUAGCAGUGCAACGUAUCCGUUCGCGGUUGCGCUUGCAUUGUUAUGUUAAAUAUGCUAGUCCUUUCAUGAUUAUGUGAUAGGUGGUGCAUGGCCGUUCUUAGUUCGUGGAGUGAUCUGUCUGCUUAAUUGCGUUUCACUAAGGGCCUAUAAUUUAACGUGUGUUGCGGCACUUUGACCCCUCUCUGAGCGCGCGUCUUAGUUGUUUAGCUCACACAAUUAGGUCCUGAAAGCAACGAACGUGACCGCAACCUCUUGUUGCCUUUAUACCAAACAUGGCAUUGCUCUCACGAGCUGUCAUGAAAAAAGGCUUUUUAAACUAGAGGGACCGCUGUUACUUUCUUAAACCAGAGGAAGGUUGCGGCAAUAACAGGUCUGUGAUGCCCUUAGAUGUUCCGGGCUGCACACGUGCUACAAUGAUUAUUGCAGUGAGCAUCUCAUUUUUUACACACCGCAUUCACGAGUCCAUUUAUUCACUGCCUUCGGGCGUGCUUUAAAUGUGCAUCUCUGUGAGCGGUAAAGCCUGCUUCGAGAGUAAGUGGGUAAUCAAUUAGAAGUAAUGAUUUCCUUUUUUUCCAGCACACAUAUAUACGGCGUUUAUACCCGGGCUGUCCUUGUUGAUAGCUUUUGUGUGUAUAGAUGUUUUUUCCGUAUGUGCAAUUGUCAAUUCAUGGUGGGGACAGACCAUUGUUAAUUGUUGGUCUCGGUCUUAACUAGGAAUGCCUUGUACGGGUCUUUGGUUCAACAAACCACCCGGAAUACGUCCCUGCCCUUUGUACACACCGCCCGUCGCUCUUACCGAUGGACUUCUCUGUGAGUUUGAGGGACUGGGAACGCAGCGCACCCUUUAUUGAGAGCCUGCACACCUACGGAAACUUAAACGAACAGUGUGGUCUAAAGGAAAGAGAAGUCGUAACAAGGCAUCGGUAGGUGAACCU
Molecule: ribosomal RNA, 1032 nt
Filed under: Buliminella tenuata
Lineage: Eukaryota; Foraminifera; Rotaliida; Buliminellidae
Description: bacterial SSU rRNA
Rfam family: Eukaryotic small subunit ribosomal RNA
Source: RNAcentral